AAUCACACACACAAGGUGUGUGUCUGCGUACGAUCGCAGGAGAAGGGGAAAAAGGGGGUGUAAACCCUAACCACAAAAAAAAUCAUCAAUUGAAAAGGAAAUCGCGGGUUGAUUGUGUGCAUGAACCAAGAAUGAUGAUCCCUUAAGCGUUUCUCACAUCAAGAACGUGUCAAGGAGAGGUCAAGCAUAGGAGGAUAACGGGUCAAGAUAAGGCAAGGUGACAAAUACACUUAUUGGAGUACUCGAGGUAAGUGAAUUUCGAUUCACUUUUUAGUAGGUUUAAUAGAUUUUAAUACUUAUGUUUACGAAACAUCAUGAAAGAACAUGUAAUAAUCAGAAGUACAAAGCCAAUAAUGCCUCAUUAUUGAAGAAGGUUGUAUUUAAGCCGAAAGUAAAUUGGUGGGUUUAAACGGGUCGAAUUUUAUGUGCAUAUGUUGCGUAAUGUAAUGAAAUUCGUUAUGGUUAAGACCUUGGGUAAGAAUUUUUAGUCAUUAUGUAAGGGGAACAUUUCCCGGACCAUUAGGAACAAGUUUUAUAUGAUUCGGUUGUCGGUUAGUGAAUGAACGGAUUGUUUCGUGUUAGUGUAGGAAAUUUUAUAAGUAUAUGUGUAUAGGAAUCCAAAGGGCACGUGGGUUGAAUCAUAGAUUGUCUAUACUAUGUAAAGUUGUGAAUGUGACAUUCCGGCAUAAACCUACAUGUAAAAGAAGCUUGUGUAUAUAUUCGUGAUUAAUUGAUUGUGCGUAGGAAGGAACACUGGCAUGUAUGAAGGUACGCAUGUAUAUAUAUAAGUGUAUAUAUAUAUAUAUAUAUAUAUGUAUGUAUGUAUGAUAAUAAGUACGUAGGUGUGAAUGUGUGUGUGUGAAUGAAUGUUCAAUGCUUAAGACAUAUGCAUGAACGUUAUCAAAGUGUUCGAGUAUUUAUGGAUACUAAUGAUGUGCGUUGAGUUGGAAUGUAAUGUAGGUAUGGGAUCGUUGGCUUCAUGAAGAAAUGGAGCUGGAUUUGGAUAAGAGUAUUUAAGAAAGCGCUUGGACAAUUCCACGACUACUUUAUAGAAUGCUCUACGAAAUUCUAUUAUAUAGUUUAAUGUUGUAUGGUAUGUUAAUGACUAAUGGUUUGGUUGUACGUGGUGUCCACAGGUAUCGCUUGGGUUUUCUCUACAUUUAUUGAAGUGAAGCGGACUUAGUUCGAGUUGAGAGCAAGGAUUGUACGGGGUAGAAUGGUCACAUAGUGUAACUCAUAUAGGUUUUGAAGUAUUAACGUUAUAAAUCCGUUUUAAUGAAUAUAUGGCAUUUCGCAUUUGAACCUUCAUGUGUUUGAUAUGUCUAUUAAAGAACGAAAUUUUUGGGCUCUUGUUUUCUGCUGCGUCGUAUUUUAAGUUAUUACGCGUUAGUCUUACAGGGAAUUGUUCUUAUUACGAACGGGUCAUGCCCGAAUUUUGUUAAAUAAUAGUAUGAUAAUAUUACAUUUUGGAAUGUGUAAUUUGGGCGUAACAAGUUGGUAUCAGAGCCCAGGUUUGAGAGAAUCAAGUAACGGGAGGUAAAUACUUGAACUCAAACCGGUGGGCUCUCGUGACCAAGAGCCCGUACAAUCCAAGACUCGAUCGAGGCCUAAAGGCAAAAGCGAAUGUAAGUAAGUAUUAGAUUAUGUAACUGAAGGAAACUAAUAGUAUGUUAUGUGAAGGGUAAGCGCAAUUGUUGGGAGAGAUGAACUGUGAAUGCGGUCUGGGACCGGCAUCAAGGCAAGUAAUGAGGCGAAUUGACCCCAGGUACGUAAAUCUAACGUGUGGGCGUAUGAAAUGGUACAGUUAACUAAGUGAAAGAAAAAUUUUAAACAAAUUAUAAUAACGACAUGGUAAAUAAGUUUUGAAAAUGUCACACAUGCCGAAACUAAAUCCUUCGGACAUAAGGUGGCGAUUACGCGAAGACACGAAACUAGUACAUGGAAGGUGUACCUGGCCAGUACACAAGAAACGUAUGACGUUCGUGAGACCGUGAUAAUUGUUACAGGUAUGUCCGAUAGAAUUUGGUAGCGGCUAGGUGCGUGGGUGAAAUGGGUAGUAAGACUCUCGGGAGGUUGAGAGUACUAUGUAAGGGUGAAAGGUAUAAGUGAUAAGAAUGAAAUAUUGAGUCCAUAAGAAAGUAUGGAUUGACAAUGUAUGAAUGCAAUGUUUGAAUCCGCGAGACGGAUUCAAGGAAUGAAAGAUAUGAAUGCAAUGCUUGAAUCCGCGAGACGGAUUCAAGGAAUGAAAGAUAUGAAUGCAAUGCUUGAGUCCGCGAGACGGAUUCAAGGAUGAAAGAUGUGAAUGCAAUGCUUGAAUCCGCGAAACGGAUUCAAAGAAUGAAAGAUACGAAUGAUGCAAAUCCCUUGCGGAUUUGGUUAUGCUAAAGAAGGUUAUGAUAAGCUAUGCAAGUCGACCGGUUCAAGUUGAACAAGUCGAGUAAGGAUAGGGUACCAUCCGUUUAGAACGGGUGGUCGUGAAUGCAAUAAUAAAUGUAUGAAGCUCAACCCGUUAUACGGAUAGAACGAAAUAUUUAUGUUGAACACAAUUAACUCGAUGUUACCGAGUCGUAAGUGGUAUGCUUGAAUCUCAUUAUGAGAAUAUAUGCCAUUACCCAUUUAAUUGGAUACUCGAAUGCGUAAAAGAAAUGAAAGUAUAUAAGCGAAUGGAACUAAAAUAUUGGUAUUGUAAGCGAAAUAAGUAUUAUGACUAACCUUUAAAACGGGAAGGGUAAGUAUUUGCAAGAAAACACUGGAACAGUGAAGUUAUGAGGUCGUAAGCAUGUUUGAAUUAAAAAAAAAAAAAGAGUACAAACGUGUACUUCGAUACGCAUGUAUAUAAUAAGAAAUAAGUGGCAGUUGACCUUGAAAAGUCAAACUGCAGAAGCUGAGAAAUAAUUUGUUUCAAACCAAGUGAGUGCUAGAGAAGAAAGGAAAUGUGUAGUGUAGUACACCAAAUGAGUUAAAGAAUUACGAAAUAAUGAUUAUGUGUUUACCCGUCAAGAACGGGUCAAACAAUGAGAAUGAUAUAUAUAUUAAGAAAUGGUCAUGUAUUGACCCGUUAUGAAUAGGUUUAACACACUAGUGCUUUAAAAAGAAUCUUGGAAGUAGUAAUAUGUAAACAAGGAGAAGUAAUAAACAUCAUGUUUAAAUGAACUUGAAUGAAAUGUGAUAAUCCCCAAUCUUAUAAUGAGUAUGGCAGAUAUCAUAGUGUGCUAAACCUAUCAAGGUCAGUGAAAGAAUGUUCAUAAGCGAAAGCUCGUCACACAGAUGAACGAGGUCAAUACGAAACAUGGUAUGGAAUGGUGACGAAGAGGACCGACUCGUUGCUGCAUGUUCAAGUACUGCACCAAGGUAGUAAGGUUAGCAAAUUAUUUAAUAUAUGAAGGUACGAUGCUUGAAUCCCUCAAACCUACGCUCUCGUGAAAGUGUGUUCGUUUCUAAGCGCCACACAAGUAAGUGAUUUAAGGAUUUCGAGCUAUGCUUUUAGAUGAAAACGGAAAUGGGUUAUGGAUAAAUUACUAUUAUAACCUGGGUUGGGACGUUAUGGGAUGUUAGGGAAGGUUUCGGGACUGCCCGAGACCAUUUCUGGUUGGAAAAAGGACCCGGGAACAAAAAAAUUUUGGUCAAACAGCGUCUGCACAGCAGAGAGCCCGUCGGCGACGGCCUUUAUGCCGUCGGCGACGGCACCCCUCCACCAGACGCGCUAACUGUCUGUCUACGGGCAAUGUUUAGCGACGGGACCUUCCCGAGCCCGUCGGCGACGCACCAUGUGCCGUCGGCGACGGGUCCCCCUUAUCUUCUUAUGCUGAAAUUGUUUGUUUAUUAGGCUAAGGUCCCUAAUUCAGUUCUAGCAUUCAUUAAACACUAAGAACACCCCAGAUUGAUGAUGAAGCUAGGAAAUUCAAGACAACUAUCGUGUUUUAAUGAUGAAUGUGUGGGAAGUUAUGUAUGCGAACGAAUGAAAUAAGUAACACAUCUAGAAUGUUUGUAAAGAAAGAUUGGGUAAGUUUAUAAAAAAAUUUACACUAUCAUUGAAAAAGUACCUCCAUAGGAAUAGGUAUGAUAUGUUUAAUAUGUACGAAUGAACGAGAUUGUAUGCGGAAAUGAAUAAAUUAAUGAUGACUAGGGAUUGGUUUUCGCAAGGAAGUUUGAAAUCUUGAUAAGUAUGAAUAAUAUAUCAGGAUGCUAGUUUCAAAUUAUGGACUAUGGGAUCUGUGAUUAGGCAAAUUCUCACAACAUGCUUAUGUAAGUCGUCCAAGGUAACUUGAAUGAGUGAGGGAACGAAGAAUAAAACUAGACGGGUUGUAGAAGAAAAGAAAGAGGUUUCGGGGACGAAACCUUCUUUAAGGGGGGUAGAUUUGUAACACCCCAAAACUCGAAUUAUUAAAUUCGUAGGAAUGUCACCAUGUGUAAUUAAAUAAAAUACAAUAACUAAGUUAUUAAACUUAGUUAAAUGCCUAAUAAACAAGUUAAGGAAUGAAACUUGUGGCAACUGUAAUGGAAUGGUAAACUUGAGGGACUUAGAUUGCCAAAAAGAAAAUAUAUUUUAUUAAAACAAAAAAAAAAUCACACACACAAGGUGUGUGUCUGCGUACGAUCGCAGGAGAAGGGGAAAAAGGGGGUGUAAACCCUAACCACAAAAAAAAUCAUCAAUUGAAAAGGAAAUCGCGGGUUGAUUGUGUGCAUGAACCAAGAAUGAUGAUCCCUUAAGCGUUUCUCACAUCAAGAACGUGUCAAGGAGAGGUCAAGCAUAGGAGGAUAACGGGUCAAGAUAAGGCAAGGUGACAAAUACACUUAUUGGAGUACUCGAGGUAAGUGAAUUUCGAUUCACUUUUUAGUAGGUUUAAUAGAUUUUAAUACUUAUGUUUACGAAACAUCAUGAAAGAACAUGUAAUAAUCAGAAGUACAAAGCCAAUAAUGCCUCAUUAUUGAAGAAGGUUGUAUUUAAGCCGAAAGUAAAUUGGUGGGUUUAAACGGGUCGAAUUUUAUGUGCAUAUGUUGCGUAAUGUAAUGAAAUUCGUUAUGGUUAAGACCUUGGGUAAGAAUUUUUAGUCAUUAUGUAAGGGGAACAUUUCCCGGACCAUUAGGAACAAGUUUUAUAUGAUUCGGUUGUCGGUUAGUGAAUGAACGGAUUGUUUCGUGUUAGUGUAGGAAAUUUUAUAAGUAUAUGUGUAUAGGAAUCCAAAGGGCACGUGGGUUGAAUCAUAGAUUGUCUAUACUAUGUAAAGUUGUGAAUGUGACAUUCCGGCAUAAACCUACAUGUAAAAGAAGCUUGUGUAUAUAUUCGUGAUUAAUUGAUUGUGCGUAGGAAGGAACACUGGCAUGUAUGAAGGUACGCAUGUAUAUAUAUAAGUGUAUAUAUAUAUAUAUAUAUGUAUGUAUGUAUGAUAAUAAGUACGUAGGUGUGAAUGUGUGUGUGUGAAUGAAUGUUCAAUGCUUAAGACAUAUGCAUGAACGUUAUCAAAGUGUUCGAGUAUUUAUGGAUACUAAUGAUGUGCGUUGAGUUGGAAUGUAAUGUAGGUAUGGGAUCGUUGGCUUCAUGAAGAAAUGGAGCUGGAUUUGGAUAAGAGUAUUUAAGAAAGCGCUUGGACAAUUCCACGACUACUUUAUAGAAUGCUCUACGAAAUUCUAUUAUAUAGUUUAAUGUUGUAUGGUAUGUUAAUGACUAAUGGUUUGGUUGUACGUGGUGUCCACAGGUAUCGCUUGGGUUUUCUCUACAUUUAUUGAAGUGAAGCGGACUUAGUUCGAGUUGAGAGCAAGGAUUGUACGGGGUAGAAUGGUCACAUAGUGUAACUCAUAUAGGUUUUGAAGUAUUAACGUUAUAAAUCCGUUUUAAUGAAUAUAUGGCAUUUCGCAUUUGAACCUUCAUGUGUUUGAUAUGUCUAUUAAAGAACGAAAUUUUUGGGCUCUUGUUUUCUGCUGCGUCGUAUUUUAAGUUAUUACGCGUUAGUCUUACAGGGAAUUGUUCUUAUUACGAACGGGUCAUGCCCGAAUUUUGUUAAAUAAUAGUAUGAUAAUAUUACAUUUUGGAAUGUGUAAUUUGGGCGUAACAAGUUGGUAUCAGAGCCCAGGUUUGAGAGAAUCAAGUAACGGGAGGUAAAUACUUGAACUCAAACCGGUGGGCUCUCGUGACCAAGAGCCCGUACAAUCCAAGACUCGAUCGAGGCCUAAAGGCAAAAGCGAAUGUAAGUAAGUAUUAGAUUAUGUAAUUGAAGGAAACUAAUAGUAUGUUAUGUGAAGGGUAAGCGCAAUUGUUGGGAGAGAUGAACUGUGAAUGCGGUCUGGGACCGGCAUCAAGGCAAGUAAUGAGGCGAAUUGACCCCAGGUACGUAAAUCUAACGUGUGGGCGUAUGAAAUGGUACAGUUAACUAAGUGAAAGAAAAAUUUUAAACAAAUUAUAAUAACGACAUGGUAAAUAAGUUUUGAAAAUGUCACACAUGCCGAAACUAAAUCCUUCGGACAUAAGGUGGCGAUUACGCGAAGACACGAAACUAGUACAUGGAAGGUGUACCUGGCCAGUACACAAGAAACGUAUGACGUUCGUGAGACCGUGAUAAUUGUUACAGGUAUGUCCGAUAGAAUUUGGUAGCGGCUAGGUGCGUGGGUGAAAUGGGUAGUAAGACUCUCGGGAGGUUGAGAGUACUAUGUAAGGGUGAAAGGUAUAAGUUAUAAGAAUGAAAUAUUGAGUCCAUAAGAAAGUAUGGAUUGACAAUGUAUGAAUGCAAUGUUUGAAUCCGCGAGACGGAUUCAAGGAAUGAAAGAUAUGAAUGCAAUGCUUGAAUCCGCGAGACGGAUUCAAGGAAUGAAAGAUAUGAAUGCAAUGCUUGAGUCCGCGAGACGGAUUCAAGGAUGAAAGAUGUGAAUGCAAUGCUUGAAUCCGCGAAACGGAUUCAAAGAAUGAAAGAUACGAAUGAUGCAAAUCCCUUGCGGAUUUGGUUAUGCUAAAGAAGGUUAUGAUAAGCUAUGCAAGUCGACCGGUUCAAGUUGAACAAGUCGAGUAAGGAUAGGGUACCAUCCGUUUAGAACGGGUGGUCGUGAAUGCAAUAAUAAAUGUAUGAAGCUCAACCCGUUAUACGGAUAGAACGAAAUAUUUAUGUUGAACACAAUUAACUCGAUGUUACCGAGUCGUAAGUGGUAUGCUUGAAUCUCAUUAUGAGAAUAUAUGCCAUUACCCAUUUAAUUGGAUACUCGAAUGCGUAAAAGAAAUGAAAGUAUAUAAGCGAAUGGAACUAAAAUAUUGGUAUUGUAAGCGAAAUAAGUAUUAUGACUAACCUUUAAAACGGGAAGGGUAAGUAUUUGCAAGAAAACACUGGAACAGUGAAGUUAUGAGGUCGUAAGCAUGUUUGAAUUAAAAAAAAAAAAAGAGUACAAACGUGUACUUCAAUACGCAUGUAUAUAAUAAGAAAUAAGUGGCAGUUGACCUUGAAAAGUCAAACUGCAGAAGCUGAGAAAUAAUUUGGUUUCAAACCAAGUGAGUGCUAGAGAAGAAAGGAAAUGUGUAGUGUAGUACACCAAAUGAGUUAAAGAAUUACGAAAUAAUGAUUAUGUGUUUACCCGUCAAGAACGGGUCAAACAAUGAGAAUGAUAUAUAUAUUAAGAAAUGGUCAUGUAUUGACCCGUUAUGAAUAGGUUUAACACACUAGUGCUUUAAAAAGAAUCUUGGAAGUAGUAAUAUGUAAACAAGGAGAAGUAAUAAACAUCAUGUUUAAAUGAACUUGAAUGAAAUGUGAUAAUCCCCAAUCUUAUAAUGAGUAUGGCAGAUAUCAUAGUGUGCUAAACCUAUCAAGGUCAGUGAAAGAAUGUUCAUAAGCGAAAGCUCGUCACACAGAUGAACGAGGUCAAUACGAAACAUGGUAUGGAAUGGUGACGAAGAGGACCGACUCGUUGCUGCAUGUUCAAGUACUGCACCAAGGUAGUAAGGUUAGCAAAUUAUUUAAUAUAUGAAGGUACGAUGCUUGAAUCCCUCAAACCUACGCUCUCGUGAAAGUGUGUUCGUUUCUAAGCGCCACACAAGUAAGUGAUUUAAGGAUUUCGAGCUAUGCUUUUAGAUGAAAACGGAAAUGGGUUAUGGAUAAAUUACUAUUAUAACCUGGGUUGGGACGUUAUGGGAUGUUAGGGAAGGUUUCGGGACUGCCCGAGACCAUUUCUGGUUGGAAAAAGGACCCGGGAACAAAAAAAUUUUGGUCAAACAGCGUCUGCACAGCAGAGAGCCCGUCGGCGACGGCCUUUAUGCCGUCGGCGACGGCACCCCUCCACCAGACGCGCUAACUGUCUGUCUACGGGCAAUGUUUAGCGACGGGACCUUCCCGAGCCCGUCGGCGACGCACCAUGUGCCGUCGGCGACGGGUCCCCCUUAUCUUCUUAUGCUGAAAUUGUUUGUUUAUUAGGCUAAGGUCCUUAAUUCAGUUCUAGCAUUCAUUAAACACUAAGAACACCCCAGAUUGAUGAUGAAGCUAGGAAAUUCAAGACAACUAUCGUGUUUUAAUGAUGAAUGUGUGGGAAGUUAUGUAUGCGAACGAAUGAAAUAAGUAACACAUCUAGAAUGUUUGUAAAGAAAGAUUGGGUAAGUUUAUAAAAAAAUUUACACUAUCAUUGAAAAAGUACCUCCAUAGGAAUAGGUAUGAUAUGUUUAAUAUGUACGAAUGAACGAGAUUGUAUGCGGAAAUGAAUAAAUUAAUGAUGACUAGGGAUUGGUUUUCGCAAGGAAGUUUGAAAUCUUGAUAAGUAUGAAUAAUAUAUCAGGAUGCUAGUUUCAAAUUAUGGACUAUGGGAUCUGUGAUUAGGCAAAUUCUCACAACAUGCUUAUGUAAGUCGUCCAAGGUAACUUGAAUGAGUGAGGGAACGAAGAAUAAAACUAGACGGGUUGUAGAAGAAAAGAAAGAGGUUUCGGGGACGAAACCUUCUUUAAGGGGGGUAGAUUUGUAACACCCCAAAACUCGAAUUAUUAAAUUCGUAGGAAUGUCACCAUGUGUAAUUAAAUAAAAUACAAUAACUAAGUUAUUAAACUUAGUUAAAUGCCUAAUAAACAAGUUAAGGAAUGAAACUUGUGGCAACUAUAAUGGAAUGGUAAACUUGAGGGACUUAGAUUGCCAAAAAGAAAAUAUAUUUUAUUAAAACAAAAAAAAAAUCACACACACAAGGUGUGUGUCUGCGUACGAUCGCAGGAGAAGGGGAAAAAGGGGGUGUAAACCCUAACCACAAAAAAAAUCAUCAAUUGAAAAGGAAAUCGCGGGUUGAUUGUGUGCAUGAACCAAGAAUGAUGAUCCCUUAAGCGUUUCUCACAUCAAGAACGUGUCAAGGAGAGGUCAAGCAUAGGAGGAUAACGGGUCAAGAUAAGGCAAGGUGACAAAUACACUUAUUGGAGUACUCGAGGUAAGUGAAUUUCGAUUCACUUUUUAGUAGGUUUAAUAGAUUUUAAUACUUAUGUUUACGAAACAUCAUGAAAGAACAUGUAAUAAUCAGAAGUACAAAGCCAAUAAUGCCUCAUUAUUGAAGAAGGUUGUAUUUAAGCCGAAAGUAAAUUGGUGGGUUUAAACGGGUCGAAUUUUAUGUGCAUAUGUUGCGUAAUGUAAUGAAAUUCGUUAUGGUUAAGACCUUGGGUAAGAAUUUUUAGUCAUUAUGUAAGGGGAACAUUUCCCGGACCAUUAGGAACAAGUUUUAUAUGAUUCGGUUGUCGGUUAGUGAAUGAACGGAUUGUUUCGUGUUAGUGUAGGAAAUUUUAUAAGUAUAUGUGUAUAGGAAUCCAAAGGGCACGUGGGUUGAAUCAUAGAUUGUCUAUACUAUGUAAAGUUGUGAAUGUGACAUUCCGGCAUAAACCUACAUGUAAAAGAAGCUUGUGUAUAUAUUCGUGAUUAAUUGAUUGUGCGUAGGAAGGAACACUGGCAUGUAUGAAGGUACGCAUGUAUAUAUAUAAGUGUAUAUAUAUAUGUAUGUAUGUAUGAUAAUAAGUACGUAGGUGUGAAUGUGUGUGUGUGAAUGAAUGUUCAAUGCUUAAGACAUAUGCAUGAACGUUAUCAAAGUGUUCGAGUAUUUAUGGAUACUAAUGAUGUGCGUUGAGUUGGAAUGUAAUGUAGGUAUGGGAUCGUUGGCUUCAUGAAGAAAUGGAGCUGGAUUUGGAUAAGAGUAUUUAAGAAAGCGCUUGGACAAUUCCACGACUACUUUAUAGAAUGCUCUACGAAAUUCUAUUAUAUAGUUUAAUGUUGUAUGGUAUGUUAAUGACUAAUGGUUUGGUUGUACGUGGUGUCCACAGGUAUCGCUUGGGUUUUCUCUACAUUUAUUGAAGUGAAGCGGACUUAGUUCGAGUUGAGAGCAAGGAUUGUACGGGGUAGAAUGGUCACAUAGUGUAACUCAUAUAGGUUUUGAAGUAUUAACGUUAUAAAUCCGUUUUAAUGAAUAUAUGGCAUUUCGCAUUUGAACCUUCAUGUGUUUGAUAUGUCUAUUAAAGAACGAAAUUUUUGGGCUCUUGUUUUCCGCUGCGUCGUAUUUUAAGUUAUUACGCGUUAGUCUUACAGGGAAUUGUUCUUAUUACGAACGGGUCAUGCCCGAAUUUUGUUAAAUAAUAGUAUGAUAAUAUUACAUUUU
Molecule: long non-coding RNA, 10581 nt
Organism: Helianthus annuus (common sunflower)
Lineage: Eukaryota; Viridiplantae; Streptophyta; Magnoliopsida; Asterales; Asteraceae
Exons: 4
Source: RefSeq, a predicted model, not a curated record